This 496-nucleotide ribosomal RNA is filed under the name uncultured bacterium. RNAcentral's name for it is "partial 16S ribosomal RNA". It matches the Rfam family "Bacterial small subunit ribosomal RNA", at positions 29 to 507 of the family's 1533-position model. The record is from RNAcentral.
AUGAACGCUGGCGGCGUGCCUAAUACAUGCAAGUCGAGCGAACAGACGAGGAGCUUGCUCCUCUGACGUUAGCGGCGGACGGGUGAGUAACACGUGGAUAACCUACCUAUAAGACUGGGAUAACUUCGGGAAACCGGAGCUAAUACCGGAUAAUAUAUUGAACCGCAUGGUUCAAUAGGGAAAGACGGUUUUGCUGUCACUUAUAGAUGGAUCCGCGCCGCAUUAGCUAGUUGGUAAGGUAACGGCUUACCAAGGCGACGAUGCGUAGCCGACCUGAGAGGGUGAUCGGCCACACUGGAACUGAGACACGGUCCAGACUCCUACGGGAGGCAGCAGUAGGGAAUCUUCCGCAAUGGGCGAAAGCCUGACGGAGCAACGCCGCGUGAGUGAUGAAGGUCUUCGGAUCGUAAAACUCUGUUAUUAGGGAAGAACAAAUGUGUAAGUAACUAUGCACGUCUUGACGGUACCUAAUCAGAAAGCCACGGCUAACUACGUG